UACGUGAGCCCCAAGCAUUAUCCGGAAUCAUUGGGCGUAAAGGGUCCGUAGGCGGUUAUGUUAGUCUCCUGUUAAAGCACCGGGCUCAACCCGGGAUCGGCAGGGGAAACGGCAUGACUAGAGAAUGACAGAGGUGUGUGGAACUCAAGGUGUAGGGGUGAAAUCCGUUGAUAUCUUGGGGAACACCGAAAGCGAAGGCAGCACACUGGGUCAUUUCUGACGCUGAGGGACGAAACCCUGGGUAGCGAACAGG
Molecule: ribosomal RNA, 253 nt
Filed under: uncultured bacterium
Lineage: Bacteria
Description: partial 16S ribosomal RNA
Rfam family: Bacterial small subunit ribosomal RNA
Source: RNAcentral